This 66-nucleotide transfer RNA is filed under the name Raivuna sinica. RNAcentral's name for it is "tRNA-Asp". Lineage: Eukaryota; Metazoa; Arthropoda; Insecta; Hemiptera; Dictyopharidae. The record is from RNAcentral.
AAGAAAUUAGUUUAAAUAAAACAAUUAUUUGUCAAAUAAUAAAUAUAAAUUAAAUUAUAUUUCUUG